UGCAAGUCGAGCGAAGCUUUUCAGUAGUUUACUACAGAAAAUGACUGAGCGGCGAACGGGUGAGUAACGCGUGAGCAACCUACCUUAGUUACCGGGAUAGCCCGAGGAAACCCGGAUUAAUACCGGAUAUUCUUAUUUAAUCACAUGAUUUUUUAAGGAAAGGUCAGCCGAACUAAGAUGGGCUCGCGUUCUAUCAGCUAGUUGGUAGGGUAAUGGCCUACCAAGGCUACGACGGAUAGCUGGUCUGAGAGGACGAUCAGCCACACUGGGACUGAGACACGGCCCAGACUCCUACGGGAGGCUGCAGCAGGGAAUAUUGCGCAAUGAGCGAAAGCUUGACGCAGCGACACCGCGUGUGGGAUGACGGAUCUAGGUUUGUAAACCACUUUCAGGAGGGAAGAAAAUGACGGUACCUCCACAAGAAGCCCCGGCCAACUACGUGCCAGCAGCCGCGGUAAUACGUAGGGGGCGAGCGUUGUCCGGAUUUAUUGGGCGUAAAGAGCUCGUAGGCGGUUCAACAAGUCGGUCGUGAAAGUUCAGGGCUCAACCCUGAAAUGUCGAUCGAUACUGUUGUGACUAGGAUACGGUAGAGGUGAGUGGAAUUCCGAGUGUAGCGGUGAAAUGCGUAGAUAUUCGGAGGAACACCAAUUGCGAAGGCAGCUCACUGGGCCGCUAUCGACGCUGAGGAGCGAAAGCUAGGGGAGCAAACAGGAUUAGAUACCCUGGUAGUCCUAGCUGUAAACGAUGGAUACUAGACGUAAGAAUUGG
This 768-nucleotide ribosomal RNA is filed under the name uncultured marine bacterium. Its description in RNAcentral is "bacterial SSU rRNA". It matches the Rfam family "Bacterial small subunit ribosomal RNA", at positions 56 to 832 of the family's 1533-position model. The record is from RNAcentral.